AUUAUACCGUGAAACUGCGAAUGGCUCAUUAAAUCAGUUAUCGUUUAUUUGAUAGUACCUUACUACUUGGAUAACCGUGGUAAUUCUAGAGCUAAUACAUGCUAAAAACCCCAACUUCGGGAGGGGUGUAUUUAUUAGAUAAAAAACCAAUGCCCUUCGGGGCUCUUUGGUGAUUCAUGAUAACUUAACGGAUCGCAUGGCCUUGCGCCGGCGACGGUUCAUUCAAAUUUCUGCCCUAUCAACUUUCGAUGGUAAGGUAUUGGCUUACCAUGGUUUCAACGGGUAACGGGGAAUUAGGGUUCGAUUCCGGAGAGGGAGCCUGAGAAACGGCUACCACAUCCAAGGAAGGCAGCAGGCGCGCAAAUUACCCAAUCCCGACACGGGGAGGUAGUGACAAUAAAUACUGAUACAGGGCUCUUUUGGGUCUUGUAAUUGGAAUGAGUACAAUUUAAACCCCUUAACGAGGAACAAUUGGAGGGCAAGUCUGGUGCCAGCAGCCGCGGUAAUUCCAGCUCCAAUAGCGUAUAUUAAAGUUGUUGCAGUUAAAAAGCUCGUAGUUGAAACUUGGGCCUGGCUGUCUGGUCCGCCUCACCGCGUGUACUGGUUCGGCCGGGCCUUUCCUUCUGGAGAGCCUCAUGCCCUUCACUGGGUGUGUUGGGGAACCAGGACUUUUACUUUGAAAAAAUUAGAGUGUUCAAAGCAGGCCUUUGCUCGAAUACGUUAGCAUGGAAUAAUAGAAUAGGACGUGCGAUCCUAUUUUGUUGGUUUCUAGGACCGCCGUAAUGAUUAAUAGGGAUAGUCGGGGGCAUCAGUAUUCAAUUGUCAGAGGUGAAAUUCUUGGAUUUAUUGAAGACUAACUACUGCGAAAGCAUUUGCC
Molecule: ribosomal RNA, 877 nt
Filed under: Massariosphaeria sp.
Lineage: Eukaryota; Fungi; Ascomycota; Dothideomycetes; Pleosporales
Description: SSU rRNA
Rfam family: Eukaryotic small subunit ribosomal RNA
Source: RNAcentral